RNAcentral lists this ribosomal RNA (1126 nucleotides) under Euplotes vanleeuwenhoeki. Its description in RNAcentral is "12S ribosomal RNA". The record is from RNAcentral. Lineage: Eukaryota; Ciliophora; Spirotrichea; Euplotida; Euplotidae.
UAAUACUCCAACGACAGGUUCCCCUACCAUUACCUUGUUUCAACUUCAUCCAAAUUACCCUAAUGUUUCUAAAAGUAUAUCUGAAAUAUAAAUUUGCUGAGUAAACAUACCCCCAUUCUACAAUUUUAACCCAUUACAGUUCUCCGGACGUGAUGGGCGGUGUGUGCAAAAUUUAAAUAAAAUUCAUCGUAACGAUCUUAUUUACGAUUACUAAUGAUUCCAGCUUCACGAAUUUCAAUUUCAAAAUUCGAUUCGAACUAAGAUAAUUUUUGGGGUAUAAUUUCGUAACUACCGUAAUUCCCCCUGUAAAUACCCAUGUAACACGUGUGUAGCCCAGCAUAUUUAGACCAUAAUGACUUGACUUCUCCUCAAAAUCACUAUUAAAAUUAUUAAUUCGUCGAAUAAACUUAAGCUUUACAAAUUAAUAAAAAGUAAUAUUAAAAUGAAAGACUUAAGUCUCACUAGUUAUAAAUUUAAUAAUAGUGAAUACUGCAGUUAAUAUAGUUUCUACCAUAAAAUAAUAAUUAUGUAUAUUAAAAAAUGUAAUACUGCAGCACAAGAUUGUGUUUACUUUAUACUUUCAUCGUAAACUGACGACAGCCAUGCAGUACCAAUUCAAUUUGUAACGUAAUAUGAGAACAGUAAAUUACUUAACAAAUGUACUACACUGGUAAGGUUUCUCGCGGAUUAUCGAAUUAAACCACAUGUUCCACCAUUUAUAAAAAUUCCCGCCAAUCCCUUUAAAUUUUACCCUUGCGGCCAUAAUCUUCAGGUAAAAUAUUUAAACGUUAGUCAACAUUAAAAAUAAAUAUUCAUUAUUCAGGGUAUAAACUAAUGGGGUCUCAAAUCCCAUUCGAAUUUUAUACUUCAGUGGUUCAGUGUCAAUAUAAAGUUGAUUCGCGAAUCUCAUCAAAAAAUCCAACAAUUCUACAUGAAUUUCACCUCUAAAAUUGUUAAAUUCGAAGCAUACUAAUAUUCUAGUACUAGAUUAAAAAUCAUAACCACCCAACACUGGUAAUUUGAAAUUAACUAAUCUAGACGACCUAGCCACUUUUACACCCAAUCACGACGGAUAACGCUCCUCCAUCAACGUCUUACCGCGACUGCUGGCACGUUGUUAGCCCGG